AGCUAACGUUGGCGGCGUGCCUAACACAUGCAAGUCGAACGCGUUCCGGGGGCAACUCCGGGACGAGUGGCGGACGGGUGAGUAACACGUGGGUCAUCUUCCCUCGAGUGGGGAAUAAGCCUCCGAAAGGGGGUCUAAUACCGCAUAAGGCCCGGGCUCAUAAGAGUUCCGGGUUAAAGCCGCAAGGCGCUUGAGGAUGAGCCUGCGUCCUAUUAGCUAGUUGGUAGGGUAACGGCCUACCAAGGCGAAGAUGGGGUAGCCGGCCUGAGAGGGUGAACGGCCACACUGGGACUGGGACACGGCCCAGACUCCUACGGGAGGCAG
This 324-nucleotide ribosomal RNA is filed under the name uncultured Nitrospirota bacterium. RNAcentral's name for it is "bacterial SSU rRNA". It matches the Rfam family "Bacterial small subunit ribosomal RNA", at positions 29 to 351 of the family's 1533-position model. The record is from RNAcentral. Lineage: Bacteria; Pseudomonadati; Nitrospirota.